Molecule: microRNA precursor, 127 nt
Filed under: Myotis lucifugus (little brown bat)
Lineage: Eukaryota; Metazoa; Chordata; Mammalia; Chiroptera; Vespertilionidae
Description: mir-9193 microRNA precursor family
Rfam family: mir-9193 microRNA precursor family
Source: Rfam by way of RNAcentral
CAUGCACUGGUGGGGUCCCUCGGCCUGGCCUGUGCCCUCUCAUAACCCGGGACCCCUUGGGGGAUGUCAGAGAGCCGGUUUUGGCCCGAUCCCUGCAGGCCAGGCCGAGAGACCCCACCAGUGCAUG